UAGAGUUUGAUCCUGGCUCAGGAUGAACGCUAGCGACAGGCUUAACACAUGCAAGUCGAGGGGCAGCGGGGAGGUAGCAAUACUUCCGCCGGCGACCGGCGCACGGGUGAGUAACACGUAUGGAACCUGCCCGUAGCAGGGGGAUAAACGGAAGAAAUUCCGUCUAAUACCGCGUAAUAACUCCGAGAGGCAUCUCAUGGAGUUUAAAGGGUAACACCGGCUACGGAUGGCCAUGCGGCGCAUUAGCUAGUUGGCGGGGUAACGGCCCACCAAGGCGACGAUGCGUAGGGGUUCUGAGAGGAAGGUCCCCCACACUGGUACUGAGACACGGACCAGACUCCUACGGGAGGCAGCAGUGAGGAAUAUUGGUCAAUGGGCGCGAGCCUGAACCAGCCAAGUCGCGUGAGGGAAGACGGUCCUAUGGAUUGUAAACCUCUUUUGUCGGGGAGCAAAAGACGCCACGUGUGGCGUUCCGAGAGUACCCGAAGAAAAAGCAUCGGCUAACUCCGUGCCAGCAGCCGCGGUAAUACGGAGGAUGCGAGCGUUAUCCGGAUUUAUUGGGUUUAAAGGGUGCGCAGGCGGAAGAUCAAGUCAGCGGUAAAAUUGAGAGGCUCAACCUCUUCGAGCCGUUGAAACUGGUUUUCUUGAGUGAGCGAGAAGUAUGCGGAAUGCGUGGUGUAGCGGUGAAAUGCAUAGAUAUCACGCAGAACUCCGAUUGCGAAGGCAGCAUACCGGCGCUCAACUGACGCUCAUGCACGAAAGUGUGGGUAUCGAACAGGAUUAGAUACCCUGGUAGUCCACACAGUAAACGAUGAAUACUAAUUGUUCGGGGAGAAUGAUCCCUGAGUGAUACAGCGAAAGCGUUAAGCAUUCCACCUGGGGAGUACGCCGGCAACGGUGAAACUCAAAGGAAUUGACGGGGGCCCGCAC
Molecule: ribosomal RNA, 930 nt
Filed under: uncultured bacterium
Lineage: Bacteria
Description: bacterial SSU rRNA
Rfam family: Bacterial small subunit ribosomal RNA
Source: RNAcentral